UGGUCAUUACCAAGGCUUUGAGAAUUCAGUUUCUUAUUUGCUGUGGACAUGACCAUAAAAAAAUUCCCAAUAGGUUUUCUAUGUGCUGCUUGCUAGCAGUUAACCUGUUGGGGACAUUU
Small nucleolar RNA from Microtus oregoni (creeping vole), 119 nucleotides. RefSeq annotates it as small nucleolar RNA SNORA32. NCBI's taxonomy places the organism in Eukaryota, Metazoa, Chordata, Mammalia, Rodentia, Cricetidae. The transcript has a single exon. The record is from RefSeq and is a predicted model, not a curated record.